CACUGAGGUCUGGGAAUGGAGCUGACCAGAAGCUUGCUGGAGAGAUGGAGUUUCACCUGUGUUAGCCAGGAUGGUCUCGAUCUCUUGACCUUACGACCUGCCCGCCUCGGCCUCCGAAAGUGCUGGGAUUACAGGCGUGAGCCACUGCGCCUGGCCCUCUCUCUUCUUUAAAACUAAUUUUUAAUUUUAUCAAAGUGAUAUAUACACACAGUUUAAAAGACCACUUUCUCUUAAGGCCUUUCCCGGGUCAGGGAUAGGGAGAUUCCCUGAGCCUUAGCUGCCUCUCUUCUGAAAUGGAGGUGACCAUCCACCGGCCCACCUGUACCUCACUGGGUGGAUUUGAGACUCACAGGAACCAAAGGAUAUGGAGAGUCUUUGCAAAUUACACAGACUAGAGUGAUCAACUCUCCUAGUAUGGAUGGGACUUCUCUGGUUUUAGCACUGAAAGUCUAGUGUCUUGGGAAGCUGCUUGGUCUUGGGCAAACCAGGAUGGUUGGUUACUUUACUGGCUCUGACAAGACUGCCUCUUACCUUUGACUAUAACUACACCUAUGAACUUUUUUGGAAAGGGAUGGGGGAAUACAUUCAUUAAUAAACACAUGUUUUACUGAGAUUGUUUCCUCCAAGGCCACUAAUGUACUAAUCUGUUUCUUAUGUUCUUUGCAAAGCAUUAGAUGUUUUUUAGAGAUGCACAGAAAAUAUCAACAACAAGAAAAACCACCCACAAUCUCAUCCACCUAGAGACAUCUGUUACCUGAGGAUAUAACUAUUUUCUAAUUGCCAAUUCAAAUAAUUAUUAUUUUUAUUUUUAUCAAAGUUAUGCAUGCUCAUACAUCUUUGAAUUUUCUUUUUUCUGUUUCUUGGUUGAUUUGGUUUGGUUUUGUCUUUCAAGCUGGAGGUGUUAAAUUAGAUUAAAUUUGGCCUUAAGCUGCCUCCUUACAUAGUGAACUGAAACCCAACUUAAUAUGUAAACAAACCUAACAUGAGAGUUUCUUGUAACAAGUAGCUGAGUCUCAGCCAAUCAUUGCAACUGAGCUUUCAGCCAAUCGCAGACUGCAAAGUGCUUAGACCUGUCCAGAUAAAGCAAAUGCCGAGUUCUAAAUAGGCUAUUUCUAUGUGUCACUUUUUUUCUCUCUGUAAGUACUACUUGACCACAUGGUUAGGUGGAGUUCUU
Molecule: long non-coding RNA, 1174 nt
Filed under: Homo sapiens (human)
Lineage: Eukaryota; Metazoa; Chordata; Mammalia; Primates; Hominidae
Description: HSALNT0242428
Source: RNAcentral